GACGAACGCUGGCGGCGUGCUCACCCCUGCCAGUCGCACGGAAAGGCCCUGCUUUUGUGGGGUGCUCGAGUGGCGAACGGGUGAGUAACACGUGAGUAACCUGCCCUUGACUUUGGGAUAACUUCAGGAAACUGGGGCUAAUACCGGAUAGGAGCUCCUGCUGCAUGGUGGGGGUUGGAAAGUUUCGGCGGUUGGGGAUGGACUCGCGGCUUAUCAGCUUGUUGGUGGGGUAGUGGCUUACCAAGGCUUUGACGGGUAGCCGGCCUGAGAGGGUGACCGGCCACAUUGGGACUGAGAUACGGCCCAGACUCCUACGGGAGGCAGCAGUGGGGAAUAUUGCACAAUGGGCGGAAGCCUGAUGCAGCAACGCCGCGUGCGGGAUGACGGCCUUCGGGUUGUAAACCGCUUUCGCCUGUGACGAAGCGUGAGUGACGGUAAUGGGUAAAGAAGCACCGGCUAACUACGUG
This 467-nucleotide ribosomal RNA is filed under the name uncultured bacterium. RNAcentral's name for it is "partial 16S ribosomal RNA". It matches the Rfam family "Bacterial small subunit ribosomal RNA", at positions 28 to 507 of the family's 1533-position model. The record is from RNAcentral.